GCUGAAGCACCAGCUUGCUGGUGUGGAUGAGUGGCGAACGGGUGAGUAAUACGUGAGUAACCUGCCCUUGACUCUGGGAUAAGCCCGGGAAACUGGGUCUAAUACUGGAUGCUACAUGUCACCGCAUGGUGGUGUGUGGAAAGGGUUUACUGGUCUUGGAUGGGCUCACGGCCUAUCAGCUUGUUGGUGAGGUAAUGGCUCACCAAGGCGACGACGGGUAGCCGGCCUGAGAGGGUGACCGGCCACACUGGGACUGAGACACGGCCCAGACUCCUACGGGAGGCAGCAGUGGGGAAUAUUGCACAAUGGGCGAAAGCCUGAUGCAGCGACGCCGCGUGAGGGAUGACGGCCUUCGGGUUGUAAACCUCUUUCAGCAGGGAAGAAGCCACAAGUGACGGUACCUGCAGAAGAAGCGCCGGCUAACUACGUGCCAGCAGCCGCGGUAAUACGUAGGGCGCAAGCGUUGUCCGGAAUUAUUGGGCGUAAAGAGCUCGUAGGCGGUUUGUCGCGUCUGCUGUGAAAGCCCGGGGCUUAACCCCGGGUGUGCAGUGGGUACGGGCAGACUAGAGUGCAGUAGGGGAGACUGGAAUUCCUGGUGUAGCGGUGGAAUGCGCAGAUAUCAGGAGGAACACCGAUGGCGAAGGCAGGUCUCUGGGCUGUUACUGACGCUGAGGAGCGAAAGCAUGGGGAGCGAACAGGAUUAGAUACCCUGGUAGUCCAUGCCGUAAACGUUGGGCACUAGGUGUGGGGGACAUUCCACGUUUUCCGCGCCGUAGCUAACGCAUUAAGUGCCCCGCCUGGGGAGUACGGCCGCAAGGCUAAAACUCAAAGGAAUUGACGGGGGCCCGCACAAGCGGCGGAGCAUGCGGAUUAAUUCGAUGCAACGCGAAGAACCUUACCAAGGCUUGACAUAUACCGGAUCGUUCCAGAGAUGGUUCUUCCCCUUUGGGGUCGGUAUACAGGUGGUGCAUGGUUGUCGUCAGCUCGUGUCCUUGAGAUGUUGGGUUAAGUCCCGCAACGACCGCAACCCUCGUUCCAUGUUGCC
Molecule: ribosomal RNA, 1045 nt
Filed under: Kocuria palustris
Lineage: Bacteria; Bacillati; Actinomycetota; Actinomycetes; Micrococcales; Micrococcaceae
Description: bacterial SSU rRNA
Rfam family: Bacterial small subunit ribosomal RNA
Source: RNAcentral